RNAcentral lists this ribosomal RNA (498 nucleotides) under uncultured bacterium. RNAcentral's name for it is "partial 16S ribosomal RNA". It matches the Rfam family "Bacterial small subunit ribosomal RNA", at positions 30 to 523 of the family's 1533-position model. The record is from RNAcentral.
AUUGAACGCUGGCGGCAUGCCUUACACAUGCAAGUCGAACGGUAACAGGUCUUCGGAUGCUGACGAGUGGCGAACGGGUGAGUAAUACAUCGGAACGUGCCUAGUAGUGGGGGAUAACUACUCGAAAGAGUGGCUAAUACCGCAUGAGAUCUACGGAUGAAAACAGGGGAUCGCAAGACCUUGUGCUACUAGAGCGGCCGAUGGCAGAUUAGGUAGUUGGUGGGAUAAAAGCUUACCAAGCCGACGAUCUGUAGCUGGUCUGAGAGGACGAUCAGCCACACUGGGACUGAGACACGGCCCAGACUCCUACGGGAGGCAGCAGUGGGGAAUUUUGGACAAUGGGCGCAAGCCUGAUCCAGCAAUGCCGCGUGCAGGAUGAAGGCCUUCGGGUUGUAAACUGCUUUUGUACGGAACGAAAAGCCCCGGGUUAAUACCCUGGGGUCGUGACGGUACCGUAAGAAUAAGCACCGGCUAACUACGUGCCAGCCGCCGCGGUAA